Molecule: long non-coding RNA, 420 nt
Organism: Teleopsis dalmanni
Lineage: Eukaryota; Metazoa; Arthropoda; Insecta; Diptera; Diopsidae
Exons: 3
Source: RefSeq, a predicted model, not a curated record
UUGUUUUAAAUAGCAUUGGUAAGAGGAGCGCUACAAAGCUUAAGAAAUUUAUAUGGGUCGUCUGAUUCUGUAAUAAGGCAAUGUACUCUAUCUUAUAAGAACCGUGAUAUACAGAGACUAACAACAUAGGACAGUUCUUUUAAACACUAUUAGCUAUUAUGAGGCAUAGUAAAAACUAAAAAUUAUAAAAAAUAUGGGAUGGUGAAUUCUUGCUACAUGACAGAAAAAAAAAUUGUGUGAAAAUUGGAUGAUCAAAGUGAAUCAAAGUAAUGCUUAUACAAAAAAAACAAAGAGAAGAACUUAAUGGAUGUGAGAGUUCUGCGUUUUUUAAGUGGUGAUUAUUGCGAACAAAAAAUUAUAUGAAUUAUCGAUUUUUUAACAAUAAAAUGCAAAAUAUUGUAACACUCUUAAUGCCCAAUA